UUUGUAAGUUGUGAAGGGCGCAUGGUGGAUGCCUUGGUAAUAGGAGCCGAUGAAGGACGUGGGAAUCUGCGAUAAGCCUGGUGGAGUUGAUAACCGAGCGUUGAUGCCAGGAUGUCCGAAUGGGGUAACCCCGCGCAUCGUGGUGGUGCGUGACCGCUGGUUGAAUGUAUAGGCCAGUUGGAGGGAACGUGGGGAAGUGAAACAUCUCAGUACCUGCAGGAAGAGAAAAUAAUAAUGAUUCUGCUAGUAGUGGCGAGCGAACGUGGAUGAGGCUAAACCUGGUGCGUGUGAUACACGGUAGUGGUUGCGUGCUGGGGGUUGUGGGAUGCGCUGUGCUGGUUCUACCGGGCUGGCGAGUGAUGGUUGCGUGUAUGCGAAGUAGUUUGGAUGCUACACCGUAGUGGGUGAGAGUCCCGUAGUGGUAACGCGUUGGCCGGGCUUUGGUGUUUUCCCGAGUAGUACGGGGUUCGUGGAGUCCCGUGUGAAUCUGCCAGGACCACCUGGUAAGUCUAAAUACUUCCUAUUGACCGAUAGUGGAUCAGUACCGUGAGGGAAUGGUGAAAAGUACCCCGGGAGGGGAGUGAAAGAGUACCUGAAACCAUGUGCUUACAAUCCGUUCGAGCGUCCUGUGGGGUGUGAGAGCGUGCCUUUUGCAAAAUGAGCCUGCGAGUCAGUGAUGCGUGGCGAGGUUAACCCGUGUGGGGUAGUCGUAGCGAAAGCGAGUCUGAAGAGGGCGGUGAGUCGCGUGUUCUGGACCCGAAGCGGAGUGAUCUACCCAUGGCCAGGUUGAAGCGUGUGUAAGAGCACGUGGAGGACCGGACCCACUUCAGUUGAAAAUGGAGGGGAUGAGCUGUGGGUAGGGGUGAAAGGCUAAUCAAACUCCGUGAUAGCUGGUUCUCCCCGAAAUGCAUUUAGGUGCAGCGUUGCGUGUUUCUUGCUGGUGGUAGAGCUACUGGUUGGCUGAUGGGCCCGACAAGGUUACUGACGUCAGCCAAACUCCGAAUGCUGGUGAGUGAGAGCGUGGCAGUGAGACUGUGGGGGAUAAGCUUCAUGGUCGAGAGGGAAACAGCCCAGAUCAUCGGUUAAGGCCCCUAAGCGUGUGCUAAGUGGAAAAGGAUGUGAAGUUGCUGAGACAACCAGGAGGUUGGCUUAGAAGCAGCCACCCUUGAAAGAGUGCGUAAUAGCCCACUGGUCAAGUGAUUUUGCGCCGACAAUGUAGCGGGGCUUAAGCAUACCGCCGAAACUGUGACAAACCACCGUGUGGUGGGUUGGGUAGGGGAGCGUCGUGCGUGUGGUGAAGCAGUCGUGUGAACGGUUGUGGAGAGCGUGCGAGUGAGAAUGCAGGCAUGAGUAGCGAUAGGAGGGUGAGAAACCCUUCCGCCGGAUGACUAAGGGUUCCAGGGUCAAGUUCAUCUUCCCUGGGUUAGUCGGGACCUAAGGCGAGGCCGACAGGCGUAGUCGAUGGAUAACGGGUUGAUAUUCCCGUACCAGUGGUAGACCGUCCCUGCUGAGCUGGUGAUACUAACCACCCGAGCCUUCCUGGAUCACCUUUCGGGGUGACGUGGUUGGUGAGCGUGGGACCUGAACUGGUGAGGCAAGCGUGUUAACAGGUGUGACGCAGGAAGGUAGCCGGGCCAGGCAGUGGAAUGGUCCUGGUCUAAGCGUGUAGGAUGCAGGGUUGGUAAAUCCGCUCUGUGUGUGUCUGAGACGUGAUGGGCUCCCACGUGGUGGGAGAUCUGGUGAUCCUAUGCUGCCAAGAAAAGCAUCGACGCGAGGUUGACAUUGCCCGUACCCUAAACCGACUCAGGUAGUCAGGUAGAGAAUACUAAGGCGAUCGAGAGAAUCAUAGUUAAGGAACUCGGCAAAAUGCCCCCGUAACUUCGGAAGAAGGGGGGCCUCGACCUUGACACCCACGUGCUGGGUGGAGGGGGUAGGGGCCGCAGAGACCAGGGGGAAGCGACUGUUUAUCAAAAACACAGGUCCAUGCGAAGUCGUAAGACGAUGUAUAUGGACUGACUCCUGCCCGGUGCUGGAAGGUUAAGCGGAGCUAUUAGCCCUUGUGGGCGACGUGGUGAAGUUAAGCCCCAGUAAACGGCGGUGGUAACUAUAACCAUCCUAAGGUAGCGAAAUUCCUUGUCGGGUAAGUUCCGACCUGCACGAAUGGAGUAACGACUUCCCCGCUGUCUCAACUGUGAACUCGGUGAAAUUGCAGUACGAGUAAAGAUGCUCGUUACGCGCAGAAGGACGGAAAGACCCCGAGACCUUCACUAUAGUUUGGUAUUGGUGUUCGGUGUGGCUUGUGUAGAAUAGGUGGGAGACUGUGAAGCUAGCACGCUAGUGGUAGUGGAGUCGUUGUGUGAAAUACCACUCUGGUCAUAGUGAACAUCUAACUUCGGACCGUGAUCCGGUUCAGGGACAGUGCCUGAUGGGUAGUUUAACUGGGGCGGUUGCCUCCUAAAUGGUAACGGAGGCGCCCAAAGGUUCCCUCAGCCUGGUUGGCAAUCAGGUGUUGAGUGUAAGUGCACAAGGGAGCUUGACUGUGAGACUGGCAGGUCGAGCAGGAACGAAAGUUGGGACUAGUGAUCCGGCGACUCGUUGUGGAACGGUCGUCGCUCAACGGAUAAAAGGUACCUCGGGGAUAACAGGCUUAUCUUGCCCAAGAGUUCAUAUCGACGGCAUGGUUUGGCACCUCGAUGUCGGCUCGUCGCAUCCUGGGGCUGGAGUUGGUCCCAAGGGUUGGGCUGUUCGCCCAUUAAAGCGGUACGCGAGCUGGGUUCAGAACGUCGUGAGACAGUUCGGUCCCUAUCCUCUGCGCGCGGUGGAGAAUUGAGAAGGGCUGUCCUUAGUACGAGAGGACCGGGACGGACGAACCUCUGGUAUGUCAGUUGUACCGCCAGGUGCAUGGCUGAUUGGCUACGUUCGGGAUAGAUAACCGCUGAAAGCAUCUAAGCGGGAAGCUUGCUUCAAGAUGAAUUCUCCUGACACCCUUGUGGUGUGAGAGGUUCCCAGUAGAUGACUGGGUUGAUAGGCCGGGUGUGUAAGCACGGACUGACGACGUGUUGAGCUGACCGGUACUAAUAGACCAAAGACUUACAAACACCCCCAACC
RNAcentral lists this ribosomal RNA (3108 nucleotides) under Auritidibacter sp. NML120636. Its description in RNAcentral is "bacterial LSU rRNA". It matches the Rfam family "Bacterial large subunit ribosomal RNA". The record is from RNAcentral. Lineage: Bacteria; Bacillati; Actinomycetota; Actinomycetes; Micrococcales; Micrococcaceae.